AGGGGCUUAGGUAUGACCUAGACCAAGGGCCUUCAAAGCCCUAAGCGGGAGUUAAACCCUCCUAGUCCCUG
Molecule: transfer RNA, 71 nt
Filed under: Cromeria occidentalis
Lineage: Eukaryota; Metazoa; Chordata; Actinopteri; Gonorynchiformes; Kneriidae
Description: tRNA-Trp
Rfam family: tRNA
About the family: Transfer RNA (tRNA) molecules are approximately 80 nucleotides in length. Their secondary structure includes four short double-helical elements and three loops (D, anti-codon, and T loops).
Source: RNAcentral